UUUCUUUAAUUUUUUUAAAUUUUUGUCAUUUAAUUUAUUUUUAAUUCACUACAAAUUCAAAUUUUUCAUACAAAAUAUUUAUAUUUAACGUGUUCAAAUGAUCAUAAAUCUAAGCAUGUCAACUCUUAAAUUAUAUAUAUACAUACAAAUUUGAUAUUCACUCUUCGACAAAAUAGUAACCGGUGACAAUAAAUAUGAAGUUACCACAUUAGCUAUAUAAGGUGCCUAUGGCCCCAUUUUUCUUUGAGUAGUUUUAUUAUUAUUUAUUUACUUAAUAUAUGUGCAUAUAUUAAAGCUAACCAUCCCAUAUGUUUACAUAUAUAUUUUUAUUUAUUUGACAUUCACCCUCACAAUACGUAUACAUCAUUAUGAAAUGAAACAGAGAUGGGACCUAUGACAGUGGAAGGUAGAACAUGUGAGACCAAAAGUAGUGAAUACAAGGGGAUAUGCUUAUUUGAUGCUAAUUGUGAUAGUAUUUGCAAAGUAGAGCCAGGUUUCGAUGGUGGGCAUUGCCAUGGCUUCUUUCGCAGAUGCUAUUGCACUAAACCUUGUUAGAUGAGCAAUCUAUUAAGAUUUCAUUAUACUUAAAAGAUUGCCUCAUUUCCGCUUGUUAUGUGUGUGCUUGAGAGUUGAGAGAAUAAGAUCAACAACAUAUUGGUGUACAUUGAAUUAUAUUACUAUUAAAUAUAUCUAUAAUUUUUAUGGAUUUGUGCGACCUUGAUCGGUGCUGGCAUAAAAGUUGCUUCAGCGAAUCAUCAUUUAUUGUCAAUCAGUAUUCACAACAAAGGUUUCCAUAAAGGUUAAUGUUGGGCCAUCAAAGAGGUUGUCAAUCAAAUUUUGUCCAAACGGAUUCACAAAAUAGAAUCAUAAUUAUAAAGAGAUAAUAUAAUGGAGAAUAAGAUUAGAGUAGCUCCAUGUGUAAAUUAAUGACUUGGAUUAUGAAAGGGAGACGCGUGGAGAAGAAAUGAAGAAGAAGAAUAAGAGUGGAAAAUAAAGAAAUAAAAAAGGAAAAGAGAGUAGGGAAGUUAAAUUAAAUGAAAAUUAAAAAAAAAGACUGCUCAUGAAGAAAAAUGAUAGAGAUUACUGUAUAAUUUAAUCUAAAAUUUUCAUUUAAAAUAAUGAUUUAACGUGUCAUAUUCACUUGCUAUUACUUCGUUAACAACUCAUUAAAAAAAUACAAUAAAUUAAUACUAUUAAUGACUCUAUCGUAAUUUUUUAAUAUUUAAUGUUCAAAUUAUAAUUUGAACCAUACAUAAUUGAUUAAAUAUAUAGUCUACCCAAAGAUUUAUGGUAAGUAUAAUAAUAUUCUUAUUCAAUUUUUAUAAAAGUUUUAUUUUUUUGACAAUCUAAUUAGAGAUCUCAUUUUAAAUUGUGAUUUCUCAAAUUAAUAUUUUUUUUUGCUUAAUUUGCUACCUAUGUUUAUAAUGAUUAUUUUGAAAUUUGAAUUUGUCAAUUUUCUAAUUUAAUAUCUAAUCUUUUUUUUUAUCAAAUUUAGUUCUCAAAACUUGGCAUUUUUCUAAUUUGACUUUUAAUUGUUUUAUCUAAUUUAAUAUUUAAACUCAAAAUUUAUAUAAAUUACUCCAAUAAAAUUCUUAUCUUUAAAUGUUUCUGCAAAUAGUUGAUGUAUUUAAUGUUUAAAUGCAUCAAAUUUUUAAAAUCUUAGAUUUACUUAUUGAAUUUCAUGCAUGCUAAAUUGCUAUCAUUUAGAGUUUAAACUUGCAAAAUACUAUACGUGCAAGCUUUACACCUAGAACAUCUUUUUGGAGGAAAAUAGGUAGAAAAGUCAACAAUCUAUAGGAGGAUGGGAUCUUGAGGAAAAUGGAUGCAGGAAGAAGGAGCGGUGAUGAUAAACACAAGGAAAGUAAAAAAAAAAUGCUCAAUUGGUCGAAGGUGAUGUGCAGGACAAAGCAAGAGCGAGAGCAUUGGAACACAAUGAAUAUGUCUGUGCUGAGACGCGGAGGGGAAAACUUGAACUCAAACAUUCUUGAAGAUAUGGAAGUGAUCGACAGUAGAUUUGAGAAUGAAAAUAUCCAUUGGUUGGAACGCAGCUUGGUAGGGUGAACUGUGGAAUACAAAGCAUUGCAAGAAAUAGCUAGAAUUAUGACUGAGAUGAUUGACUUGCUUUGCAUGCUUGGAACCUUGGGACUUUUUAGAACAUAGCUCAUAAGUAUGGUGAGUGGUUAGGAGUUGACUUAAACACGAGAAGCUUUAACACUUUUGUGAGGGGUAAUAUCCAUGUUCUAAUAAAUCAGAUUUACAAGGUUAUAGUCAGGGAAGCAGAGCCAAUUGUUAUGGUUAACCAAUGUGAUUGUGUGAAGAAAAACAAGGAUUUGGCCGAAGGAGAAGAUGAAACAAGCUCAGAAGCAAACGCUCCAAGUGAGGAAACUUCUAGCGGUAACCACCUUUCUGUAACAGAUGAAUGUGAACAGUCAAUUAGAAGGAGAGUGAAUGUGGAAGAUGAUGAUGACGUGGAAAAAACCAAUCUCUCAUUCAAUUUAGAAACUUUAAACUAUAACUUCACAUAAUCUAACUAAGUUAAUCCCUCUUCCCCACUAACUAUAUAUUCCUAUGCUAGGCAAGUUGGGUGAAGUCACUAAGAACAAACUUAUUGGGUCGAUUAGGGCAUCAAGUAUAUUCUUAUUCUAGCUGCAAAUUAACUUGUUCGUUAGUGCUACUAAAGUUAAUUAUAAUCUAUUCAGUUUAGAUCUAAAUCAUAAUUUUCUUUUCUAAGACAAAUCAAGAUUAUCAAAUUAAUGCAACUUGGUGAUCAAGUAUGUAGAUUAAAUAAGCAUAUAAUUGAAUCAAUAAUUAGCAAAGAUCGAAAAACUCAAAGAGAAAAUAAUUUAAUUAACUAAAAAAUAGGAUCUAUUAUUGUUCCAAGAAAAUAGAGUUUAGUUCAUACUAAGUUGAAAAAACCACACAAAAAGAUAUUUAGAACAGACUUUCAUACAAAAAAAAAGUAAAAAAUAAUCUAGAGAUAAAAAUAGUAAUAGAAUUUAUGUCGAGCAUCCAUAUAUCUUUUUCUUCUUGUUUUUUUCAAGCUUAAAGUUCCCCUUAAUGUGAGAGAGUUGAUUUUUAGCCUCCAAGUGAUUUCUUCUUUUCCUCCUUCCUUUUCUCUUAAAUCUCAUCACCAUUAUUUUAGGGUUUUAAUUGAACCGCUUCACUGCACGCAAAAUUAUACUAAAAUAACUCUAAAUAUGAGGGUUAUUAUGGUGUCAACUACAACAACAUAAUGAACAUUUUCAGCUACGAAAAUCGUGAAGAUAAUGCUUUGAAAUAAAAUGAAAGAUGAUUUUCUUCCGAGUUACUUGAUGGCAUACAUCGAGAAGGACAUUGCUCGACAAUUUUCAAUCAAUUCUUUCAUUGAUGACUUCAAUUUAAUGAAAAAUCAAAGAAUUCAACUUAGGAUGUUCAACUUUAAGAAAUAGUGUUAUAUAUUAAGUUACUUUGAUUUAUGUUUUCUUUUAAGUAGACUAUAUUAACAUUUAAAAAGUAAUAAAUUAAGAUUAUACUUAUGUUUCGCCCCCUUGGAAUCAAAUCCUAAAUCCAUCCAUGGUGGGUUUUUUAUAUAUAAUAAAAAAGAAAGAAAAGAAAAGACACAAAGCAGUAAAAAAUAUAGUCAAAAUGUUAAGCUAAACUUAACGUCAAUGGGUGUCAAGAUUCGUUUAAAUAAAUAAAACAAAACCUGACACCCAUGAGUAUUGAGAUCCUAAUUAAAAUUUGUCUAUUAACAUUCUCUUUCCUCAUCUCUGGAUCUUGAGGAAAUUCAUUAAUAAAAAGCCUAUACUAAACUCGCACCUAUGGAUGUCGAGAUACUCCAAAAAGUAAAAUUUUGGAAAAUAAAUUUUAUAGAAGCUUAGUUUGGGAAACAAUAAAAAAAAUCCCUAUAUCCAAGUUUGAAAAAAAUUUGAAUAACUAUUAUCAGAAUAAAAGAAAUGGUAAACUACAAAAAUAGUCACUUUUGUUUACAUCAGGUUACAUUUUAGUCACUUAUGUUUAAAAUAUUACGUUUUAGUCACUUAUGUUAUUAUUUUGUUACGAAGUGAUCACUCUUCCAGUAAGUUCUGUUAUCUCACUAACGGUAAUCUUACGUGGCAGUCUAACUAGAUUUUAAGUGCCAACUUAAAUUUCCUAAUAGGAUGAGAAUAAAUUUUUAAUUAAAUAAAUUUAAUUAAUUAAAAAUUUUAAACCCUAAAUCUUAGUUAAAAAAAUUCAUCUCCCCUUUUUUUUUAGUUUUCUUUUUCAGGAUACCCUUCCUUGGAACUACUGUGACUGUGUUCCUCCUCAUGCCCGGUUGUUUCAGAUGUUAAAAAAAUCAGAACUUGAACUACUUUCCCUACCCUUGUCUUCAAGCAACUCGGCAAAUAUUCCCAUUUGAACCCCAUUCUCACUAAAGCUUUCAUUUUUCUCUUUAAUGAGUCCUCCUUUCUCAACCAAACCCUCCAUUUCAAUUUGCUGUUCUUCAAAAGGACCAGGUGAAGGACAAAACAGAGUGAUUUACUAUCAUACCACUAUACUCUAACCUCUGUGAGCAACACACAUUGGACUCCAUAGCUUUGUAACACAAGCUUCUAAAAGAUUUUGAAACCCAAAAGCUCUUAGCUUUUAGCUUUGGCGCAGGCAUUCAAAGCUUCAACUGGUGAUAUUGUUGUUGUUGCUGCUGUUUGGUAGAGCUAUUUACUCUUGGUUGGUGAAAGCUCCUCCAUCCAUAAGGUCGCCAACAUGUCUACUUCAAUGGGGUAAAGUGGAAGCAAAAAAAAAAAAAAAAUGCAGAGAAAUUUGGUGUGGGGUUUUCCUUCUUUUUCCUUUUAUCUUUUUUUAUGUUACAGAAAAAAGGCAGAAGCUUUAUGUUCUUAAAUAUAUGGAGUCAAGCUGAUGAUUACUGAGGCCUGCUCAAAGACAUGACUGCUUUCUUAGUCAACCGAAAAAUAAAACUAAAAAAAGGAAGAUAGAACGGUUUUUUAAUUAAGAUUUAAGGUUUAAAAUUUUUAAUUAAUUAAAUUUAUUUAAUUAAAAAUCUAUUCUUAUCUUAUUAGAAAAUUUAAGUUGACACUUAAAAUUUAGUUUGACUGUCAUAUAGGAUUACCGUUAAUGAGAUAACAGAACUUAACGGAAGAGUGAUCACUUCGUAACAAAAUAAUAACAUAAGUGACUAAAACGUAACAUUUCAAACAUAAGUGACUAAAAUGUAAUCUGAGGCAAAUAAAAGUGACUAUUUUUGUAGUUUACCCUAAAAGAAAAUACGAAGCAUAAUAAAUUAUUAAUUGAAAUAUCUUCGAUCCUAAAAUGAAAUAAAUUUAAACAGAAUUUACAUAUUUUUAGAUUUAAGCAAUCCCUUUUUCUCGAUAACUACCUCAACACUAACCCUUAUAUAAACCCAUCCCAUUGUUUUAUUUUCACUGCAUUAACAUCUCUCUCUCUUUCAAUUAAUAAAUUCCAAAUGGAUCGUUCAGUUCUAGUUGCUUUUCUUCUUUUAUCAUUUCUUCUAGCCACAGGUUUUCCUUUAACCUUUUUCAAGUUAUUGUCUUUUCAAUUAAUUUCUUGAUUUCUCAUGAUAUCAUAAAAUAUUUGUAUUUAACUCAUUCAACUAGGCAUCACAUAAUGGAAUAUUUAGAGAAAAGAUGUUAAAUGUACCAUGCUUUAUGUAUAUUUCUUUAAAGAAAAAAAAAUGUGUUUUCGUAUUUAACAUUGACUCUUUUGAAUAACAUGUUCUUUGAUUUUCUUGCAUUUAUUUGUUAUGAUGCAAUCGUGUGAAACGAAAUAGGGAUGGGGCCUAUGUCAGCGGAGGCUAAAACAUGCGAGGCUGAAAGCGGUAAAUUCAAGGGGAUGUGCAUGAGUUCUACCAACUGUGCUAGUGUUUGCAAAUCAGAGCCUGGUUUUGAUGGUGGACAUUGCCAAGGCUUUCGUCGCCGAUGCUUGUGCACUAAGCCUUGUUAAACCACUAAGCUUUGUUAGAUCAGUAAUCUAUUAUAUUUCAUUGUCACCAAGAUGGCCCUUUUUUUUGCUUAUCAUGCAUUAUAUGCUUGAGAGUUGAGAGAAAUAAGACAUCUCCAACUUGUUUUGUAAACCAGUAAAUUUUUUAUUAGAAUUAAAUUAAUCUUUUAUGAUGUUUAUAUUGCACAAAAAAGAUUAAUAUUGAUGGUUAAAAAAACCUCUCAAGAUUAGUUUCAAAAUAUUUCAUUUUGGUCAAAAAUAAACAUAUGAUGUCUGUCGAAACCAUCUUUUUGAAAAAUAAAAGUUUUAAGGUUGUUGACUUUUUAAAAAAAAUUAAAAUUGUGAGUCGCCACCAAUUUUCAUUAGGGUGUGAUUGGAUCACCUAAAAAAAUGGCAUUGGUCUACGAGUUUUAGAAAAACGGAUCUGGGAGUCAGUUACGUAUGAGGAAGGAUUAGCACCCUCGUAACGCCCAAAAUUGGUACCUAGUUAAUUAAUUAGUGUCUUAAGGUCGAGAAUUUGGAAAAAAAACGUAAUUCAUAGCAAAACUUAAAAGGCUACGUAUUAAGACCCUUAUUAUUUCAGAGAAAGAAGAUACCACACCCAAUGCGUUAGGGCACAACAUUCUAAUUUUCCCCCAAAAAUGAAUUGGGCCAAAAUACUUGUACAAUAAAACUUUAAAGGAACACUCACUUAUCCAAGAUUUAAGAAAUCACACCCAAUACGUUAGGGCACGAUUCCUUUAGAAUCUCAAACUCGGAAUAUUUCCUUUACUUUAAAAGAACAUCCACUUAUCCAAGAUUUAAGAAAUCACACCCAAUACGUUAGGGCACAAUUCCUUUAAAAUCCCAAACUCGAAAUAUUUCCUUUAUUGUUUUUAGAAAAAAAUUUCAUUUCGAGAAAUCAAUGCGUCACAUCCAAUACGUUAGGACACAACGUGUUGAAUUCCCAAUAAUGAAUUCUUAUUUUUUGAUUAAAGAGAAACGCUCGAUUGUUAGACUUAACGAAGAAAAUCGGAACCCAAUACGUUAGGGCUCAAUUUCCUUGAAAAUCCUAAAUUCAAGCAUUCUCUCAAUUUUGAAAAGUUUGAAAUCGAGUAAAGAAUGAUGUGAUGCUAUAUUAAAUAUACAAUGCAAUAAUAAAUAUUACAAAGGCCUAGAAAUAAUAUAAAUAAAUGAAUAAAUAAAAUCAAUAUACAUAAUAAAAAUAAUCACAUACAAAAUAUCAAAUAAAUCAUUAAAAACAAUUCUUUUUAACAUAUAAACGAAAACAUGAACUAAUAAUAGAAUGAAGAAAAUAAACAAAAUAUAAAGAAUAAAAGGCACAUAAUAUAUACAUUGAAAUUAAAAGCCAUACACAUAAUUUACAUAUGUAACUUUGGAUUAAAAUUUAUAAAAGCAGAAUAUAUAAUGCAUUUGUGAAAAUAAAAUAUAAAUUAUAAAGUAAGUGUUAAAAAAUACAUAUAUUUGAGCAUUUAAAAAAUAUAUAUAUUCAUAUAUAUAUACAAGUAUAUAAAAAACUGGUUGAAAAUAUUAAUAUGUAUACAUACAUAUAUAUACAAAGAUAAAUAUAACAUAUAUAGAUUAUAAAAAAAAAUAAUUAUAUAUAAAUAAAAUAAAAUAAAAAUAAUUACCUCAUAUUAAAAAAAUAAAUAUGCGAAAAAUAUUAGUUUUUUAAAAAAAUAUAAAUACGCACAUAGAAACAAGUAUACAUAUAUAUAGCUAAAAUAAUAAUAAUAAUUACAUAUGAAAAUAAUAAUAAUAAUUACAUUAAAAAAAUUAACUCAUUUUAAAAAAAUAUAAAAAGGAUUAUAUUGAACUACAAGUAAACAAAUUUGGGGUCAAUCUGCAAAUAAAUAAAAUUUGGAGGACUAAAUUGAACGAGCGAAUUACAUAGAGGGGCUGGAAGGGAAAUUUUCCCUUCUCCUCUAAAACGGUGUCGUUCAAAAGGAUUAAAUUGGAAUUUAAAAUAAACAAAAGGGUAAAUUAAAAAAUAAAGAAAACUUAAUUACAAAAACAUUAAAAGGCGGAGGGGCUAAAUAAAAAAUAAAUAAAAUUCGCAGUGGUAUCACCUUCUCUUUUUUUUUUAAAUCGUGAAUAAGUAAAAAAAAUAAUCGAAAGAAAAAAAUAGUAAGCCACCUUUAAAAAACUGCCAAUCGUUCUUUUUUAUUCCUCCUCAUCUUUCCUCUUUUUCUUUUUUCUACAAUGAAGGGAGAAGCCUCUAUUUAUAGUUGAGUCUCCCCAAAUCAAACGGUACAGAUCAAUUACAUCAACGGCUGAGAUUAAAGGGUAUCUACAAAUUAAAUCUUUAAGAUUACAAAAUCAUAUAUUCUAAGAUUGCAUAUUAUAUCUAAGAUUGCAUAUAUCAUAUUUAAGAUUGCAUAUCAUAUCUAAUAUUGCAUAUCCUCAAAAAUUAUGUUUUCAUAUGUGAACUCAGGCUAAAAUUGAGUAUUACAAUGUUAAUUGAAUCUUAAUUCGAUCGACAUAGUAAGAACUCUCCUUAUUUGCGAACCCCAUCACCAUUAGACAUUAGAUCUCCCGUAUCAACCCAAAUUCCACUAUUUUCCUAACUACAAUAAGGGGCAUAAAUGACUGCCACAACUGAUACAAAUUAACACCUCUGCCAUAUAAUAGUAAUAAUCCCAAUACAUUUAAUAUCCUAUCAUCAUCACCCUUCCCCUCAUUAGCUCCAACCGACAGUACUAAAUCCUUAACUGCUUGGAGAAUUCUAUCCACCUCUUUGGUAACAUCUUCCUUAUCACCACUGAAUGUAUCCAUGGAAGAAUUCAUAUCUGUCUGUAUCACAGCCACAGUAUUGAUUAAUCACACUAGAUCGAAUUCAUUAACAUAGACACUGUACCGCUCAUUCCCAACUUGAAGUUGAAUAAUCUCAUCAAUACGAUAAGAACAAUUUGUUAAUUUUAACUUGUAUAUUGGCUUUCAUAAAAGAACUAGGUUGCACAGUCCCUUAAUCAACAGAGACGAAUUCAUCCCACCUUGCCUAAAUAUUCUGGAAUGUAAAAACAUUCCAAGCAUGAAUAGGAACGCCCCUACAGGCAAGCUACACUCUUCGACUCUCUACCUUAAUUUUAUCCGACCACCACUGCUUAUGCAUGAAGCAACUAUCUAGGAUGUCCCACUGAUUUGCUUUGUCAAACUCCAACAUCUCCACACUCUCGAACACCAUCAGGAUCAUAGACCCAGAUAGUCUCAUAAUCGUUGCUCCCAUAAUAUCCUUUUCAUAAAUAUCUUUCUCUAGCUCAUCAAUCCUAUAGAAACGUCUGCAACACCCAGUCAUACUUCUAUGCAAAACAUGCAGUUUCUCCACAUCUAUCACACCUGGAAUGAUCUUUUCAUCGUACGCUAUAACCUUCUCCCUGGACUCUUCUUCCGUAUGGAUGGAGUUCUCUUGAGAGCUUAACUCUUUAAGACCUGUUUCUUUCUCUAGAACGAUGAACGACUUUUGAAUCUCACCAAGUUAACAAUGAGUCAAUGAUUAAACAUUCAAAACUCGUCCAUUCUAUCAAUGGCCCUUUUCGCAUCCUCCAUACAAGCGUACCUGAUGAAACUAAAUCUUUUUCCUGAUCUACUCUUUUUGCGUGGCAUGAAAGCAUCCAACACUUUCCAUGAUAUCCAAACAAUUGCUUCAGCCAACGCCAAUUUAUCCCAUCCGGGUUAUUACUAACAAAGACCGUAACACAGCCCAUCGUCUCUAAGAUCAUCCAUAUAGUUUUAUCUCACUUCCUUUACCGCCUCCUGUUCUUUUCCUCUUUAGUUCAUGCUUUUGGCUGAGUUUCAGUGACUCGUUCUUUAGCUUAGCUUUGUUGCAGGUAUUAGAGGUUGGCUUUCUUGACAGUCCUGUCAUUGUCCAUUGAUAUGCUACUAUUUUUCAUUGACCCAACGAGUAACCCAGAGUCAGCUCCAUCCUACCCAAAUAAUAUUUGAUACACAUUUUACUCUUCAGUUAAAUCUAAACAUAUAUCUUAUCACUAGACUCACUUGUUCGCUCUAUUAAUUAGUACAAAAUGGACUCUCGUUCAGUUUCAACUGCUGUUCUAUUCCUGUUGGUACUUCAGUAACAGGUAAUUCGAACAGAAUGUAUAUUUAUAUUUAAUAUUCACUUAUUCGAAUAAUAUAUAUAUUGCGUGGUUUGAUGAUAAAAUUACGUGAAAUGAAAUAGAGAUGGUACCUAUUGCUGCAAGCACUAAAUUCAAAGGCAUGUGCCUAAGUUUUGCUAACUGUGCUAAUAUUUGCGAGGGGGUGCCAGGUUUCAUCGGUGGACAUUGCCAAAGCUUCCCUUGUCAAUGUUUUUGUACCAAGUCUUGUUAGAUGUGCAACCUAUUAUAUUCCAUUGUGCUGUGUGCUUGAGAGUUGGAGAGUAUUAAGAUGUCUUCAACAUAUUUUGUAUAUGAAUUUUUUAUAUUAAUAAUUGAUUUUUUAUAAUGUUUUUGUUGCAAUUGUAUACACACAAUUGUAUAUGAAUUUAUAUUUAAUAUUAAAUGAUCUUUUAUGUGUUUGUUUGUCCAUAUAUUGAGAUUUUCGGUUUGUUGGAUUCUUUCACCGAUUUUAAAAUUGUAAGGAUUGGCCAUACGAGUAAUAGAGUUGCAGAUUGCAUUUGUAAACUUGUGUUGAAUAAAUGUUGUACCCUUUCUUUCAACAUGGAGCAUCUUUAAGAUAUCCAUGACUUUGAAAUUGUUGAUUCUUAUUAAUAUGAGGUAGCGACUUUUAUGCCCAUUUUAUAAAAAAAAAAAAGUUUUCAAACACAUACUCAUCUAAUAAAAUUUUUAAUUUUGUUUAAAAAUUAAAUUUAUAUUUUUUUAUUUAAAUAUCAUAUUACUAGUUACAUAUUCAUCCUAAUCACCUAUUCUUAUUUAUAAGCUAAAAGUGUCCACGAUUAGGUUAAGGGUUUCUAUACAUUAAACAUAGUAACAUAUUAAAUUUUAUUGUUUAAAACGUAUUAUAUUGUAAUCUAAUUUGAUUUAUACCAAAUAUCAAAUUAUUAAUUUGAUAUUUUAAUAAUAAAUAUAAAAAAAUAAACUUGAAUAAUUAUAUAAAAUAUUUAACAAAAUUUUAAAAACCAAAAGAAAAAACCCGAAUACAUAGGCUAAGUUGUUGUGGUGUAAAUGAAUGUGAUUUAAGACCACUAGAAAAAUAACAAAUGUGGGAUUCAUCCUUUUUUCUCGAUAACUACUACGAUUUCAAUGCUUAUAUAAAUGUAUCUUAAUGAUAUGCUUUCAUUGCAUCAAAAACUCUCAAUCUCUCUCUCUCUCACACAUAUUCACACUUUUAAUAAUAUUUAAAAUGGAGAAAUCUUCCCGUUCAAUGUCAUCUUUAGUCCUUCUUAUGUUGGUUCUUCUAGCAACAGGUUUUCUCUUAAUUGCUUUUUUAAAUUCUUGUCAUUUAAUUUAUUAUUUAAUUCACUACAAAUUCAAAAUUUUUCAUACAAAAUAUUUGUAUUUAACAUGCUCAAAUGACCAUAAAUCUAAGCAUGUCAACUCUUAAAUUAUAUAUAUACAUACAAAUUUGAUAUUCACUCUUUGACAAAAUAGUAACCAGUAACGAUUAAUAUGAAGUUACCACACUAAGUAUAUAAGGUGCCUAUGGCCCCAUUUUUCUUUAAGUAGUUUUAUUAUUAUUUCUUUAUUUAAUAUAUGUGCAUAUAUUAAAGUUAACUAUCCCAUAUGUUUAAAUAUAUUUUUUAUUUAUUUGACAUUCAUCCUCACAAUACGUAUACAUCAUUAUGAAAUGAAACAGAGAUGGGACCUAUGACAGUGGAAGGUAGAACAUGUGAGACCAAAAGUAGUGAAUACAAGGGGAUAUGCUUAUUUGAUGCUAAUUGUGAUAGUAUCUGCAAAAUAGAGCCAGGUUUCGAUGGUGGGCAUUGCCAUGGCUUCUUUCGCAGAUGCUAUUGCACUAAACCUUGUUAAAUGAACAAUCUAUUAGGAUUUUAUUAUACUUAAAAGAUUGCCUCAUUUCCGCUUGUUAUGUGUGUGCUUGAGAGUUGAGAGAAUAAUACAUAUUGGUGUACAUUGAAUUAUAUUACUAUUAAAUAUAUCUAUAAUUUUU
This 11997-nucleotide long non-coding RNA is filed under the name Gossypium barbadense (sea-island cotton). Its description in RNAcentral is "long non-coding RNA (GBAR_LNC023259)". Lineage: Eukaryota; Viridiplantae; Streptophyta; Magnoliopsida; Malvales; Malvaceae. The record is from RNAcentral.